ACUCACUCUCCUGCUCUGCCCUGGUAAGACGCCCCAGUAAGACGAUGCUUGCUUCCCCUUCGCCUUCUGCCAUGAUUUUAAGUUUCCUGAAGCCUCUCAGCCAUGCUUCCAGUUAAGCCUGCGGAACUGAGCUGGACAGAAGUUUGUAUUACAGGCUCGUAGCACCGGAGGUUUCUGAUGGAGCAGACAACUUGAGGAAGGCCGGCCUUGCUGAACACAGUGGACUGACCGGGUCUGGACCCCUCCCCCACAGGUGACUGUGCACUGCAGCAGAGAGAAGAGGAAGGAGUCAGAAACACUCUACUGAGAUCCUCCCAGAUAGAUAACGUACGUACAUAUUGAUACCUCUACCCGGACUCUGUGAUUAAUGGUGAGGUGGGGAGCACCCGAGUCCUCUGAACUGAACAGCUGUGCAGCAACAUCUGCUGGGUGGAAUGCUGGAAGGACCGCGUCACACACCAAUCCUAGCUAAAGUUUCACCCAAGUCUUCUGAAAAGAAGGGUGCCUCUAGCAUCUGAUAAGUUUAAAAGCGAAGUAUCCUUGGCUGAAUUGCCUGACAUUCUGAGCUUUAGGGACCAUACUACCCCUGAAUAGGAGUACUUAGCACCGUGCAUAGUAAUAGCUUGACAAAUAUUAGCUAUUACAUUGUUCAGAAACAUGAUGUAAGAACCAAAUGAGUAAAGGCUGUGAGCAGCAUUUCUAAAACA
This 707-nucleotide long non-coding RNA is filed under the name Homo sapiens (human). RNAcentral describes it as "HSALNT0386982". Lineage: Eukaryota; Metazoa; Chordata; Mammalia; Primates; Hominidae. The record is from RNAcentral.